CCUACGGGAGGCAGCAGUAGGGAAUCUUCCGCAAUGGGCGAAAGCCUGACGGAGCAACGCCGCGUGAGUGAUGAAGGUCUUCGGAUCGUAAAACUCUGUUAUUAGGGAAGAACAUACGUGUAAGUAACUAUGCACGUCUUGACGGUACCUAAUCAGAAAGCCACGGCUAACUACGUGCCAGCAGCCGCGGUAAUACGUAGGUGGCAAGCGUUAUCCGUAUUUAUUUGGCGUAAAGCGCGCGUAGGCGGGUUUUUAAGUCUGCUGGGAAAGUCGACGGCUCAAACGUGGAAGGUCAUUGGAUACUGGAAACCUUGAGUGCAGAAGAGGAAGGUGGAAUUCGAUGUGUAGCGGUGAAAUGCGUAGAGAUAUCGAAGAACUCCGAUUGCGAAGGCGACUUUCUGGUCUGUAACUGACGCUGAUGUGCGAAAGCGUGGGGAUCAAACAGGAUUAGAUACCCUUGUAGUC
Molecule: ribosomal RNA, 465 nt
Filed under: uncultured bacterium
Lineage: Bacteria
Description: partial 16S ribosomal RNA
Rfam family: Bacterial small subunit ribosomal RNA
Source: RNAcentral